AUUAAGUUUAAUUUAAUAUAGGAUCUGCUCAAUGAUUUAUUAAAUAGCUGCAGUAUUUUGACUGUGCAAAGGUAGCAUAAUAAUUAGUCUUUUAAUUGGGGACUUGUAUGAAAGAUUUGAUGAGAAAUAAACUUUAUUAUUUAUAUAAUUAAAAUUUUAUUUUUAAGUAAAAAAGCUUAAAUUUUUUAAAGGGACGAUAAGACCCUAUAAAACUUUAUAAAUAUUAAUUUUAAUUUUUUUGGAUUUAUAAAUAUUUUAUUAUUAUUAUUUAUUUUAUUGGGGUGAUAAAAAAAAUUAAUUAACUUUUUUUAAAAUUUUACAUUAUUUAAUGAAUUUUUGAAUUAAAAUUUUUAAUUAAAGGAAAAAGUUACUUUAGGGAUAACAGCGUAAUUAAUUUUUUAAGUUCAAAUUUGAAAAUUAGUUUGCGACCUCGAUGUUGAAUUAAGAUUAAUCUUAGGUGCAAAAUUUUAAGUAUUAGGUCUGUUCGACCUUUAAAUUCUUACGUGA
RNAcentral lists this ribosomal RNA (507 nucleotides) under Cavariella aegopodii. RNAcentral describes it as "partial 16S ribosomal RNA". Lineage: Eukaryota; Metazoa; Arthropoda; Insecta; Hemiptera; Aphididae. The record is from RNAcentral.